GUUUGAUUAUGGCUCAGGUCAGACUUCUUUGGCGGGAUGUUUACACAUGGAUCGAACGGCAGCACGGACUUCGGUCGUGGCAGGUGGCGAACAGGUGAUAAUGUCAGAACGAUGCCCUAGUAGCGGGGGAUAACUACGCGAAAGCGUAACUAAUACCGCAUACGCCCGUCCCGAAGGGAAAGCGAAGCCUUCGGGCCUCGCAUAGUAGAGUAGCCGAUAUCGGAUUAGCUAGUUGGUGGGGUAACGGCUCACCAAGGCGACGAUCCGUAGCUGGUUGAGAGGACGACCAGCCACACACUGGGACUGAGACACGGCCCAGACUCUACGGGAGGCAGCAGUGGGGAAUUUUGGACAAUGAGAGGAAACCUGAUCAGCCAUCCCGCGUCGUCACCGUGAAGGCCUUCGGGAUUAUGCUUUCGCACAGCAGGAAAGAAACGGCACGGGAUAAUACCCCGUGCCUGACGAACACCUGCCAGAACCAAGCACAACAACGUGGUGCUGGCAGCACUGCGGUAACGUAAGUGCAAGCGUUAAUCGGAAUUACUGGGCGUAAAGCGUGCGCAGGCGGUUCGGAAAGAAAGACUAACAAAUCUGAAACUUAACUUUGGAACUGCAUUUUAACUACCGAGCUAGAGUGUGUCAGAGGAGGUGGAAUUCCGCGUGUAGCAGUGAAAUGCGUAGAUAUGCGGAGGAACACCCGAUAUGAAAGCAGCCUCCUAGGAUAACACUGACGCUCUUACAGCGAACAAACAGGAUUAGAUACCCUGGUAGUCCACGCCUAAACGAUGUCAGCUGGCUGUUUGGGGCCUUGGACAACCCGGUAGUACCAGCUAACAUAAUAGAGAUUGACCAUAUAGAAAUCGGUCGCAAGAUUAAAACUCAAAGAAAUUGACGAGACCCGCACAAGCGGUGGAUGAUGUGGAUUAAUUCGAUGCAACGCGAAAAGCCUUACCUACCCUUGACAUGUCUGGGAAUCCAGAGAUUUGGGAGUGCUCGCAGAGAACCGGAACACAGGUGCUGCAUGGCUGUCGUCAGCUCGUGUCGUGAGAUGUUGGGUUAAGUCCGCAACGAGCGCAACACUUGUCAUUAGUUGCUACGAAGGGCACUCUAAUGAGACUGCCAGUGACAAACCGGAGGAAGGUGAGAUGACAUCAAGUCCUCAUGGCCCAUAUGGGUAGGGCUUUCACACGUCACUGCAAUGGUCCGGGACAGAGAGAUACCAUCGCCCCGCGAGGGGAGCCAAUCCCAGAAACCCGAUGUGGUCCGGAUCACGGAUCUGCAACUCGACUGCGUGAAGUAGAAUCGCUAGUAAUGCGGAUCAACCUUCUCGCUGAUGAUACGUUCGGUCUUCCACACCGCCCGUCACACCAUGGGAGUGGGUUUACCAGAAGUAGUUAAGCCUAACUAUGGAGGGCGGUUACGGUAAGUUCAUGACUGGGGUAGAAGUCCUUUAACAAAGUAA
RNAcentral lists this ribosomal RNA (1462 nucleotides) under uncultured Bordetella sp. Its description in RNAcentral is "partial 16S-23S ribosomal RNA intergenic spacer". It matches the Rfam family "Bacterial small subunit ribosomal RNA". The record is from RNAcentral. Lineage: Bacteria; Pseudomonadati; Pseudomonadota; Betaproteobacteria; Burkholderiales; Alcaligenaceae.